Molecule: non-coding RNA, 964 nt
Organism: Paramuricea clavata
Lineage: Eukaryota; Metazoa; Cnidaria; Anthozoa; Malacalcyonacea; Plexauridae
Source: the annotation of a GenBank genome assembly
CCUAAAAUUGAACUCGCAUUAUCUCGUUAUCGCCCCAGAGUAGGGCCUACUGUUGCCAUUGCUUUUUAGUCCCCAAUACUUCAGUGAGUCAUGCUUUGGAAAUGACAAUAAUUUUUUAUUACCCAACCCUUGAGUUGUUUUGUUUUUCAUUUACCCAACCUUUUCCUUACUCAAAAUUUAGUUUACCAACCUUUUUCUCUUCGGUGCCACCCCCCGCCAUAAAUAAUGACCGGUCCCUUAGUAAAUCUUCCACAGCACUCAGCUUACAAUUUUGCAGUGAGCCAACAACAUUCGUUGACAAAUGGGAGUUUUCUCGGAUAUCAGUGAGAAUUCUAUUGGAUUUUUCAUUUUUUUUUCAUCAUCGUGAUCAUGAAUAGAGGGUCCUGAAGGGGGGGUCCCAAUCCCAUUUCCCACCCGAAAUUUUGGCAAAAUCCCAGUCCCAGUUGGAUUUUUAUUACAAAUCCCAGUCCCAGUUAUUGAAAUCCCAGUCAAUAAAAACCCCUUUAUUUAUCGGUAGAAUAAACAGUUUUAAGACCUUUUAAGCAAGUGGCGGACACUUUAUGAAAUAUCAGGGGGGGGGGGGCUCGUGCCAAAGGCACGGAAAAUUUUUAGAUUUGAAUCCCGGAAAUGGCAUUUGCAGCAUUCUGAGACACGCAUAAUCAUAAAACCCAGAAUUCCGGGCGCCAGAGUAUGCCUGUUCGCAGGUAGUGCUGUGAAUAAUAUUAUAGUUAACAACAAAAAUCGUGACCAAAGACACCAAAAACGGAUCAAAAUUGUAUUUUAAAAUACUCAAAACGCAGAAAAAUUGGGAAUCGACUCACAUUACCUCAAUCCCAUUCCCAUUUUUGAGGACUUCAUUUCCCAUUCCCAGUGGCCAAAUCCCAGUCCCAGCAACCCAAAUCCCAUUUUCCCAGUCUAAAAAUAGAUCAAUCCCAGUUCCCAUUUUACCCCUUCAGGACCCUCU